This 1677-nucleotide long non-coding RNA is filed under the name Solanum tuberosum (potato). Its description in RNAcentral is "long non-coding RNA (STUB_LNC000125)". The record is from RNAcentral. Lineage: Eukaryota; Viridiplantae; Streptophyta; Magnoliopsida; Solanales; Solanaceae.
CUCUAAUAUACUGAGAUGGAUGUGGGGACAGGCCCCGCAACAUCCUAAUAGAACAAAACUAAGUACACAAAAUAAUUGAGUCCUCCGGAAUGCAAGGAGGCUCACCACAGACUCUGGAGUGCUCAGCUGGAUCAACGACGUGCAGGAUGUUGAUCCGGGGUACCUGUAUCUGCAUCAUAAUAAGAUGCAGGCCAACUGGCAUCAGUACAUGGAAUGUACGAGUAUGCGAGCUGGAACUAAGCAACAAAGGCUAGGAGGAGAUCUGGAGAUCUGGAGGAAACUGAAUAGCUUACCUGGCUCAACUCAACUCAACCUGACUGACUUCUUUCAAUAUAAGGCAAUUUAAAACAAGUGCGAUAUAAAGAAAGACUGUUUAAAACAUGCUAUAAACUCUGUGUGUAUGCAAAGAUACAAUAAGCCUGAGAUGUAUAUAGAAAUACAAAUGAACUGAUGUAUAUAAAAUACAAUACUUUCUGUGUAUGAAAAUACAAUAACUGCUGUGGGAGUUUCUCUAACCGACAACCAUCACAUAAGAGCUAUAGUGAUGAUACAGCGAUCGACCUCACGCUGCCAGAGCAUCCUAUUCCCGGCCAAAGGUAUAGGACCUGAACUGCCUAAUGGAUCCACUAGUCUAAUCUGAAAAGGAUUCAUCUAAAAAGUAUGAUCCUUUUCUACCCAUGAUGGCUAACAUGGUUCUAUGGGGGCUGUGGGUUCUUUGAACGCUCCCCCAAUUCGGUGCUCGAUACUACUCCCAAAAAUGUACUGGCUCUUAUGUUUUUAAAACAUAUUUAUUCCUGCUGAUAUGAGAUAAUUACUCAAAAACUUGCCCGAAGGCUCUUUUGGAAAUCUCAGUUUCCAACCUUGCUUCAUUUAGAAAACGAUAACUCUUUUUCUGAAAAACUGGCCCGAAGGCUCCUUUGGAAAUCUCAGUUUCCAACCUUGCUUCAUUUAGAAAACGAUAACUCUUUUUCUGAAAAACUGGCCCGAAGGCUCCUUUGGAAAUCUCAGUUUCCAACCUUGCUUCAUUUAGAAAACGAUAACUCUUUUUCUGAAAAACUGGCCCGAAGGCUCCUUUGGAAAUCUCAGUUUCCAACCUUGCUUCAUUUAGAAAACGAUAACUCUUUUUCUGAAAAACUGGCCCGAAGGCUCCUUUGGAAAUCUCAGUUUCCAACCUUGCUUCAUUUAGAAAACGAUAACUCUUUUUCUGAAAAACUGGCCCGAAGGCUCCUUUGGAAAUCUCAGUUUCCAACCUUGCUUCAUUUAGAAAACGAUAACUCUUUUUCUGAAAAACUGGCCCGAAGGCUCCUUUGGAAAUCUCAGUUUCCAACCUUGUUUAAAUGUAAAAACAUUUCUUUAAAAACUUCUUUGGGAAUACAUAGUUCCCUAAUAACUUUGAGAAAUGAACUCAACUUUAAACUCUUUACUCAACUUGAAACUUGAGACUAUUUUUGGAGUCCUCCUUUUCUCCAGCUCUAAACCCUCCCAAAACAAGGUUUCAGCCCAUACACUUGGAAGCACAAAAAUCCCUCAACAUACCAUAGAUUACAACUCAAAUACCAACCAAACAAUACAACUAUCAACUUCAACAACUAACAACCUUAACAACAAUUCCAAUAACUUCAACAACGAAUCUAAUCCUUCCUCAAUAAAUAAAAGGGCUAGGUGUGUGGGGUAAAG